UGGGGAAUCUUGCGCAAUGCGCGAAAGCGUGACGCAGCAACGCCGCGUGGGGGAAGAAGGCCUUCGGGUUGUAAACCCCUUUCAGGAGGGACGAAGGUCGGGCGGUGAAUAGCCGACCCGACUGACGGUACCUCCAGAAGAAGCCCCGGCUAACUACGUGCCAGCAGCCGCGGUAAUACGUAGGGGGCAAGCGUUGUCCGGAUUUAUUGGGCGUAAAGAGCGUGUAGGCGGCCAGACAGGUCCGUCGUGAAAACUCGAGGCUCAACCUCGAGAUUUCGAUGGAAACCGUCUGGCUAGAGUCCGGAAGAGGAGUGUGGAAUUCCUGGUGUAGCGGUGAAAUGCGCAGAUAUCAGGAAGAACACCUAUGGCGAAGGCAGCACUCUGGGACGGUACUGACGCUGAGACGCGAAAGCGUGGGGAGCGAACAGG
This 429-nucleotide ribosomal RNA is filed under the name Bacillota bacterium. RNAcentral's name for it is "Firmicutes bacterium partial 16S ribosomal RNA". It matches the Rfam family "Bacterial small subunit ribosomal RNA", at positions 355 to 776 of the family's 1533-position model. Lineage: Bacteria; Bacillati; Bacillota. The record is from RNAcentral.